AGCGCGACCGCAUUCGCUUGCACCCCGUUUUCAUAAUGUAGAGAACGUAAUCCAAAAGUGGUCGCGUCAAAAACGGCCGCCUGCGUUCUUUUACUUUACCCUGAAGAAUUCUUAUUGCUCAUGAAAGGAUACAAAUCAAUCAUCCAUUGUGAGUUUCAGCAGGGGAUAAUAAAAUAUGACUUUAUUCAUAUGUUUAUUGGUCUUUCCGUUUAAUUCGAAUAAAGUAAUGACGAAGAGAAAAGAAUAGGGGAGAGUGUAUUGGAUGGGGAGAGGUGAAAUUCUUUGAUCCAUUCAGGACAAACAAAAGACGAAGGCACUUUUCAGGUGCUUUUUCUAUUGGUCAGGGAGCGAAAGCAGAGGGAUCGAAGAUGAUUAGAAACCGUCGUAGUCUCUGCCGUAAACAAUGUCGACUUUGGUAUAGAGAAUAACAAAAUAAUUGUGAAAGAUUAUUAAGUUGUUUCUUGUAUCAAUAGAGAAAUUAAAGUGUUUGGA
This 492-nucleotide ribosomal RNA is filed under the name uncultured eukaryote. Its description in RNAcentral is "bacterial SSU rRNA". It matches the Rfam family "Eukaryotic small subunit ribosomal RNA", at positions 657 to 1111 of the family's 1831-position model. The record is from RNAcentral.